GAGCAACGCCGCGUGAGGGAGGAAGGUCUUUGGAUUGUAAACCUCUUUUCUCAAGGAAGAAGCAAGUGACGGUACUUGAGGAAUCAGCCUCGGCUAACUCCGUGCCAGCAGCCGCGGUAAUACGGAGGAGGCAAGCGUUAUCCGGAAUUAUUGGGCGUAAAGAGUCCGUAGGUGGCGAUUCAAGUCUGCUGUCAAAGCGUGGAGCUCAACUCCAUCAAGGCAGUGGAAACUGAAUGGCUAGAGUCCGGUAGGGGUAGCGGGAACUCCCAGUGUAGCGGUGAAAUGCGUAGAGAUUGGGAAGAACAUCGGUGGCGAAAGCGCGCUACUGGGCCGGAACUGACACUGAGGGACGAAAGCUAGGGGAGCGAAAGGGAUUAGAUACCCCUGUAGUCCUAGCCGUAAACGAUGGAAACUAGGCGUGGCUUGUAUCGACCCGAGCCGUGCCGAAGCUAACGCGUUAAGUUUCCCGCCUGGGGAGUACGCACGCAAGUGUGAAACUCAAAGGAAUUGACGGGGGCCCGCACAAGCGGUGGAGUAUGUGGUUUAAUUCGAUGCAACGCGAAGAACCUUACCAGGACUUGACAUGUCGCGAAUCUCGGUGAAAGCUGAGAGUGCCUUCGGGAGCGCGAACACAGGUGCUGCAUGGCUGUCGUCAGCUCGUGUCGUGAGAUGUUGGGUUAAGUCCCGCAACGAGCGCAACCCUCGUUCUUAGUUGCCAGCAUUCAGUUGGGCACUCUAGGGAGACUGCCGGUGACAAACCGGAGGAAGGUGAGGAUGACGUCAAGUCAGCAUGGCCCUUACGUCCUGGGCGACACACGUACUACAAUGGUAGGGACAAAGGGCAGCGACCCCGCGAGGGUAAGCGAAUCUCAUCAAACCCUGCCUCAGUUCAGAUUGCAGGCUGCAACUCGCCUGCAUGAAGGAGGAAUCGCUAGUAAUCGCCGGUCAGUAUACGGCGGUGAAUCCGUUCCCGGGCCUUGUACACACCGCCCGUCACACCAUGGGAGCUGGCCACGCCCGAAGUCGUUACUCCAACCCCUCGUGGGAGGAGGAUGCCGAAGGCAGGGCUAGUGACUGGGGUGAAGUCGUAACAAGGUAGCCGUACCGGAAGGUG
Molecule: ribosomal RNA, 1114 nt
Filed under: uncultured cyanobacterium
Lineage: Bacteria; Bacillati; Cyanobacteriota
Description: bacterial SSU rRNA
Rfam family: Bacterial small subunit ribosomal RNA
Source: RNAcentral